GCCGCCGUAGUUCAAUGGAUAGAACUGGACACUCCUAACGUCCCGAUACAGGUUCGAUUCCUGUCGGUGGCA
Molecule: transfer RNA, 72 nt
Filed under: Candidatus Taylorbacteria bacterium RIFCSPLOWO2_01_FULL_45_15b
Lineage: Bacteria; Candidatus Tayloriibacteriota
Description: tRNA-Arg
Rfam family: tRNA
About the family: Transfer RNA (tRNA) molecules are approximately 80 nucleotides in length. Their secondary structure includes four short double-helical elements and three loops (D, anti-codon, and T loops).
Source: RNAcentral